Molecule: ribosomal RNA, 254 nt
Filed under: uncultured bacterium
Lineage: Bacteria
Description: partial 16S ribosomal RNA
Rfam family: Bacterial small subunit ribosomal RNA
Source: RNAcentral
GACAGAGGGUGCGAGCGUUAUCCGGAAUCAUUGGGCGUAAAGCGUGUGUAGGCGGAAUGUUAAGUCGGGGAUGAAAUUUCCAAGCCCAACUUGGAGCCCGUUCCCGAAACUGGCGUUCUUGGAAGAAUGCAGAGGCAGGUGGAAUUCUGAGUGUAGGGGUAAAAUCCGUAGAUACUCGGAGGAACGCCAAAAGCGAAAGCAGCCUGCUGGGCAUUUCUUGACGCUGAGACACGAAAGCGUGGGGAGCAAACAGG